Molecule: non-coding RNA, 179 nt
Organism: Oncorhynchus mykiss (rainbow trout)
Lineage: Eukaryota; Metazoa; Chordata; Actinopteri; Salmoniformes; Salmonidae
Source: RefSeq, a predicted model, not a curated record
AUGAGCUUCCUUUGCUUUUCAAUGACCAAACUCAGGAUCAACUUCAAGCGUUCCAAGAGAGGAAACAAAAAGGACUGCCAUUCAGUCCAAGACCAUACUGAGAUUCCCUCUACUGAUAGACAUUGCAUAGCUCCAAUUGGAGAGGUUUCUCCCUCCAUAUCUCAGCCUGUCAAAAAACG